Molecule: unclassified non-coding RNA, 223 nt
Filed under: Hevea brasiliensis (rubber tree)
Lineage: Eukaryota; Viridiplantae; Streptophyta; Magnoliopsida; Malpighiales; Euphorbiaceae
Source: RNAcentral
CGGGAAGUUGACAUUAUAUCCUCAUUACAUCACAGAAACAUAACUCCCUUUCUCGGUAUCUGCAUCGUAGACGAUAAAUUGAUCUCUGUUUAUGAUUUCUUUUCCAAAGGAAGUUUAGAGGAAAAUCUAUAUGAUAAGAACAAAGAAAAAAACAUACUUUCAUGGGAGGUAAGAUUCAGAUUGGCUAUUGGAAUUGCGGAAGCACUAAACUACCUACAUGAUG